Molecule: long non-coding RNA, 943 nt
Organism: Macrobrachium nipponense
Lineage: Eukaryota; Metazoa; Arthropoda; Malacostraca; Decapoda; Palaemonidae
Exons: 2
Source: RefSeq, a predicted model, not a curated record
UAUAUAAGGAGACGAAACUCGGUCAGCUGCACACCACACCAUCCUUGCAACAUUGCAGCAGCUACAGCCAUCGCUAAAGCCGAAAUGAAGUUCAUUGUGUUAUCGACGGCACUGGUUCUGGCCGGAGCAGAGUUUGUGAGAGUCCCGGAUUUCGAACCCGUUCAGGAUCUCUUCACUGCUAAGGUCGCGCCCGGACCAUCACUGUCGACGUCCCCUGGAUUCGACGCCAGUCUUCUGGAAAGUUCAGCCAUCAUGCCGGGCCUUCGGAACGGACUUCAGGCUGCAGUGGGCUCUGCCCAACUUGGUGUAGUAUCUAACGUCGCUCCUGAGCUUCGUCGUCUCACCUUUGACAUCGGCGCUUGUUACUACUGGUGCCGCACCAACGAAGGUCAGCCUUACUGCUGUGAGUCUGAUACCCAGAACCCUCAUGUGCCCAUCAUCAAGACUGGGAGAUGCCCGGCCACUUGCCCAGCCUUCGCUGCCACACCCUGUCGUCUUGACAGUGACUGCUCAGUCGGCGAUAAAUGUUGCAUCAAUCCUUGCAGCACCCAAGAGAGAGUCUGUCGUGCUCCAGCCCCUCUGUAACCAUUAGGCAUUAACCAAAGCUCAAUUCAGUCUUCAAUAUAUAUAUAUAUAUAUAUAUAUAUAUAUAUAUAUAUAUAUAUAUAUAUAAUCCAGAAAACCCCUGAACUUUGACGGUUUUCCAAAAAUUAUUUCUCUUGAUGAACUAGUCCAGUCAUUUUUCUUUCUACGUUCUGCCGCUUCAUUUCCAUUUUCUAUUUAACGCCAAAAUACUUUUUAAGACUUCCCGAGUGAAGUGACUCUCUGGGUGAAUGCUACAUAGAGAGACAUCAGACAGAAGUAGGCCUGCAGGCAGUGCUACUGACGAUGUCUGAAGAUGGUGUGUACAUAUUCGAUAAUAAACUCUCUGAAAUACCUUAAA